GGGGUUGUGGCCAAGUUUGGGAAGGCGUCAGACGUGAGAUCUGAAGAUCGCUGGUGAGCCCGGCUCACCCCA
RNAcentral lists this transfer RNA (72 nucleotides) under Phaeoacremonium minimum UCRPA7. RNAcentral's name for it is "tRNA-Ser (TGA) (tRNA-Ser-TGA-3-1)". The record is from RNAcentral. Lineage: Eukaryota; Fungi; Ascomycota; Sordariomycetes; Togniniales; Togniniaceae.